Molecule: ribosomal RNA, 494 nt
Filed under: uncultured bacterium
Lineage: Bacteria
Description: bacterial SSU rRNA
Rfam family: Bacterial small subunit ribosomal RNA
Source: RNAcentral
AGUGAACGCUGGCGGCAGGCCUAAUACAUGCAAGUCGAACGGCAGCACAGUGGAGCUUGCUCCAUGGGUGGCGAGUGGCGGACGGGUGAGGAAUACAUGGGAAUCUGCCCAGUCGUGGGGGAUAACGUAUGGAAACGUACGCUAAUACCGCAUGCGCCCCUCGGGGGAAAGUCGGGGACCGCAAGGCCUGACGCGAUUGGAUGAGCCCAUGUUCGAUUAGCUAGUUGGCGGGGUAACGGCCCACCAAGGCGACGAUCGAUAGCUGGUCUGAGAGGAUGAUCAGCCACACUGGAACUGAGACACGGUCCAGACUCCUACGGGAGGCAGCAGUAGGGAAUAUUGGACAAUGGGCGCAAGCCUGAUCCAGCCAUGCCGCGUGAGUGAAGAAGGCCCUCGGGUUGUAAAGCUCUUUUGUUGGGGAAGAAAGGCAGUUGGUUAAUACCCGAUUGUUCUGACGGUACCCAAAGAAUAAGCACCGGCUAACUUCGUGCCAG